This 455-nucleotide ribosomal RNA is filed under the name uncultured Skermanella sp. RNAcentral describes it as "bacterial SSU rRNA". It matches the Rfam family "Bacterial small subunit ribosomal RNA", at positions 8 to 507 of the family's 1533-position model. Lineage: Bacteria; Pseudomonadati; Pseudomonadota; Alphaproteobacteria; Rhodospirillales; Azospirillaceae. The record is from RNAcentral.
AGAGUUUGAUCCUGGCUCAGAACGAACGCUGGCGGCAUGCCUAACACAUGCAAGUCGAACGAGGGGCUUCGGCCCUAGUGGCGCACGGGUGAGUAACGCGUGGGAACCUGCCCUGUGGUACGGAAUAACUCCGGGAAACUGGAGCUAAUACCGUAUGUGUCUUGAGGGACAAAGAUUUAUCGCCAUGGGAUGGGCCCGCGUAGGAUUAGCUUGUUGGUGGGGUAACGGCCUACCAAGGCAACGAUCCUUAGCUGGUCUGAGAGGAUGAUCAGCCACACUGGGACUGAGGACACGGCCCAGACUCCUACGGGAGGCAGCAGUGGGGAAUAUUGGACAAUGGGCGCAAGCCUGAUCCAGCAAUGCCGCGUGAGUGAUGAAGGCCUUCGGGUUGUAAAGCUCUUUCGCACGCGACGAUGAUGACGGUAGCGUGAGAAGAAGCCCCGGCUAACUUCGUG